RNAcentral lists this ribosomal RNA (853 nucleotides) under Lenzitopsis daii. Its description in RNAcentral is "LSU rRNA". It matches the Rfam family "Eukaryotic large subunit ribosomal RNA", at positions 84 to 915 of the family's 3401-position model. Lineage: Eukaryota; Fungi; Basidiomycota; Agaricomycetes; Thelephorales; Thelephoraceae. The record is from RNAcentral.
UAACUGCGAGUGAAGCGGGAAGAGCUCAAAUUUAAAAUCUGGCGUGCCUUUGGUCGUCCGAGUUGUAGUCUGGAGAAGCGUUUUCCGUGCUGGACCGUGUACAAGUCCCUUGGAACAGGGCGUCGUAGAGGGUGAGAAUCCCGUCUUUGACACGGACUACCAGUGCUCUGUGAUGCGCUCUCGAAGAGUCGAGUUGUUUGGGAAUGCAGCUCAAAAUGGGUGGUAAAUUCCAUCUAAAGCUAAAUACAGGCGAGAGACCGAUAGCGAACAAGUACCGUGAGGGAAAGAUGAAAAGCACUUUGGAAAGAGAGUUAAACAGUACGUGAAAUUGCUGAAAGGGAAACGCUUGAAGUCAGUCGCGUCUGCCGGGACUCAGCCUCGCUUCUUGCUUGGUGCACUUUCCGGUUGACGGGCCAGCAUCGAUUUUGACUGUCGGAGAAGGGUGGAGGGAAUGUGGCACCUUCGGGUGUGUUUAUAGCCCUCCUCCGUAUGCGACGGCUGGGAUCGAGGACUGCGGCACGCCUUCAUGGCCGGGGGUUCGCCCCACGUUUAACGUGCUUAGGAUGCUGGCUUAAUGGCUUUAAGCGACCCGUCUUGAAACACGGACCAAGGAGUCUAACAUGCCUGCGAGUGUUUGGGUGGAAAACCCGAGCGCGUAAUGAAAGUGAUAGUUGAGACCUCUGUCAGGGAGGGCAUCGACGCCUGGACUUGAUCUACGGAGACGGUUCCGCGGUGGAGCAUGUAUGUUGGGACCCGAAAGAUGGUGAACUAUGCCUGAAUAGGGUGAAGCCAGAGGAAACUCUGGUGGAGGCUCGUAGCGAUUCUGACGUGCAAAUCGAUCGUCAAAUUUGGG